RNAcentral lists this ribosomal RNA (3007 nucleotides) under Salmonella enterica subsp. enterica. RNAcentral's name for it is "23S ribosomal RNA". It matches the Rfam family "Bacterial large subunit ribosomal RNA". Lineage: Bacteria; Pseudomonadati; Pseudomonadota; Gammaproteobacteria; Enterobacterales; Enterobacteriaceae. The record is from RNAcentral.
GGUUAAGCGACUAAGCGUACACGGUGGAUGCCCUGGCAGUCAGAGGCGAUGAAGGACGUGCUAAUCUGCGAUAAGCGCCGGUAAGGUGAUAUGAACCGUUAUAACCGGCGAUUUCCGAAUGGGGAAACCCAGUGUGACUCGUCACACUAUCAUUAACUGAAUCCAUAGGUUAAUGAGGCGAACCGGGGGAACUGAAACAUCUAAGUACCCCGAGGAAAAGAAAUCAACCGAGAUUCCCCCAGUAGCGGCGAGCGAACGGGGAGGAGCCCAGAGCCUGAAUCAGCAUGUGUGUUAGUGGAAGCGUCUGGAAAGGCGCGCGAUACAGGGUGACAGCCCCGUACACAAAAGCGCAUGUGCUGUGAGCUCGAUGAGUAGGGCGGGACACGUGGUAUCCUGUCUGAAUAUGGGGGGACCAUCCUCCAAGGCUAAAUACUCCUGACUGACCGAUAGUGAACCAGUACCGUGAGGGAAAGGCGAAAAGAACCCCGGCGAGGGGAGUGAAAAAGAACCUGAAACCGUGUACGUACAAGCAGUGGGAGCCCCACCACCAAAGCAUUCUAUGGUGUUGAAGGCCCUGCAAAGCAGCAUCGCGGUGGCGGAGCGUCGUUUGCGACGCCCAACACACAAAACAAGCGGUGAGUGCUUUGGGGUGGGGUGACUGCGUACCUUUUGUAUAAUGGGUCAGCGACUUAUAUUCUGUAGCAAGGUUAACCGAAUAGGGGAGCCGGAGGGAAACCGAGUCUUAAUUGGGCGUUAAGUUGCAGGGUAUAGACCCGAAACCCGGUGAUCUAGCCAUGGGCAGGUUGAAGGUUGGGUAACACUAACUGGAGGACCGAACCGACUAAUGUUGAAAAAUUAGCGGAUGACCUGUGGCUGGGGGUGAAAGGCCAAUCAAACCGGGAGAUAGCUGGUUCUCCCCGAAAGCUAUUUAGGUAGCGCCUCGUGAAUUCAUCUCCGGGGGUAGAGCACUGUUUCGGCUAGGGGGCCAUCCCGGCUUACCAACCCGAUGCAAACUGCGAAUACCGGAGAAUGUUAUCACGGGAGACACACGGCGGGUGCUAACGUCCGUCGUGAAGAGGGAAACAACCCAGACCGCCAGCUAAGGUCCCAAAGUCAUGGUUAAGUGGGAAACGAUGUGGGAAGGCCCAGACAGCCAGGAUGUUGGCUUAGAAGCAGCCAUCAUUUAAAGAAAGCGUAAUAGCUCACUGGUCGAGUCGGCCUGCGCGGAAGAUGUAACGGGGCUAAACCAUGCACCGAAGCUGCGGCAGCGACACUAUGUGUUGUUGGGUAGGGGAGCGUUCUGUAAGCCUGUGAAGGUGUGUCGUGAGGCAUGCUGGAGGUAUCAGAAGUGCGAAUGCUGACAUAAGUAACGAUAAAGCGGGUGAAAAGCCCGCUCGCCGGAAGACCAAGGGUUCCUGUCCAACGUUAAUCGGGGCAGGGUGAGUCGACCCCUAAGGCGAGGCCGAAAGGCGUAGUCGAUGGGAAACGGGUUAAUAUUCCCGUACUUGGUGUUACUGCGAAGGGGGGACGGAGAAGGCUAUGUUGGCCGGGCGACGGUUGUCCCGGUUUAAGCGUGUAGGUGUGUGUUCCAGGUAAAUCCGGUUCACUUUAACACUGAGGCGUGACGACGAGGCACUACGGUGCUGAAGCAACAAAUGCCCUGCUUCCAGGAAAAGCCUCUAAGCAUCAGGUAACAUCAAAUCGUACCCCAAACCGACACAGGUGGUCAGGUAGAGAAUACCAAGGCGCUUGAGAGAACUCGGGUGAAGGAACUAGGCAAAAUGGUGCCGUAACUUCGGGAGAAGGCACGCUGACACGUAGGUGAAGUGAUUUACUCAUGGAGCUGAAGUCAGUCGAAGAUACCAGCUGGCUGCAACUGUUUAUUAAAAACACAGCACUGUGCAAACACGAAAGUGGACGUAUACGGUGUGACGCCUGCCCGGUGCCGGAAGGUUAAUUGAUGGGGUCAGCGCAAGCGAAGCUCCUGAUCGAAGCCCCGGUAAACGGCGGCCGUAACUAUAACGGUCCUAAGGUAGCGAAAUUCCUUGUCGGGUAAGUUCCGACCUGCACGAAUGGCGUAAUGAUGGCCAGGCUGUCUCCACCCGAGACUCAGUGAAAUUGAACUCGCUGUGAAGAUGCAGUGUACCCGCGGCAAGACGGAAAGACCCCGUGAACCUUUACUAUAGCUUGACACUGAACAUUGAGCCUUGAUGUGUAGGAUAGGUGGGAGGCUUUGAAGUGUGGACGCCAGUCUGCAUGGAGCCGACCUUGAAAUACCACCCUUUAAUGUUUGAUGUUCUAACGUGGACCCGUAAUCCGGGUUGCGGACAGUGUCUGGUGGGUAGUUUGACUGGGGCGGUCUCCUCCUAAAGAGUAACGGAGGAGCACGAAGGUUGGCUAAUCCUGGUCGGACAUCAGGAGGUUAGUGCAAUGGCAUAAGCCAGCUUGACUGCGAGCGUGACGGCGCGAGCAGGUGCGAAAGCAGGUCAUAGUGAUCCGGUGGUUCUGAAUGGAAGGGCCAUCGCUCAACGGAUAAAAGGUACUCCGGGGAUAACAGGCUGAUACCGCCCAAGAGUUCAUAUCGACGGCGGUGUUUGGCACCUCGAUGUCGGCUCAUCACAUCCUGGGGCUGAAGUAGGUCCCAAGGGUAUGGCUGUUCGCCAUUUAAAGUGGUACGCGAGCUGGGUUUAGAACGUCGUGAGACAGUUCGGUCCCUAUCUGCCGUGGGCGCUGGAGAACUGAGGGGGGCUGCUCCUAGUACGAGAGGACCGGAGUGGACGCAUCACUGGUGUUCGGGUUGUCAUGCCAAUGGCACUGCCCGGUAGCUAAAUGCGGAAGAGAUAAGUGCUGAAAGCAUCUAAGCACGAAACUUGCCCCGAGAUGAGUUCUCCCUGAGACUUUAGGUCUCCUGAAGGAACGUUGAAGACGACGACGUUGAUAGGCCGGGUGUGUAAGCGCAGCGAUGCGUUGAGCUAACCGGUACUAAUGAACCGUGAGGCUUAACCUU